RNAcentral lists this ribosomal RNA (693 nucleotides) under uncultured Lactobacillus sp. RNAcentral describes it as "bacterial SSU rRNA". It matches the Rfam family "Bacterial small subunit ribosomal RNA", at positions 71 to 733 of the family's 1533-position model. The record is from RNAcentral. Lineage: Bacteria; Bacillati; Bacillota; Bacilli; Lactobacillales; Lactobacillaceae.
UUCUUUAUCACCGAGUGCUUGCACUCACCGAUAAAGAGUUGAGUGGCGAACGGGUGAGUAACACGUGGGCAACCUGCCCAAAAGAGGGGGAUAACACUUGGAAACAGGUGCUAAUACCGCAUAACCAUAGUUACCGCAUGGUAACUAUGUAAAAGGUGGCUAUGCUACCGCUUUUGGAUGGGCCCGCGGCGCAUUAGCUAGUUGGUGGGGUAAAGGCUUACCAAGGCAAUGAUGCGUAGCCGAACUGAGAGGUUGAUCGGCCACAUUGGGACUGAGACACGGCCCAAACUCCUACGGGAGGCAGCAGUAGGGAAUCUUCCACAAUGGGCGAAAGCCUGAUGGAGCAACGCCGCGUGGGUGAAGAAGGUCUUCGGAUCGUAAAACCCUGUUGUUAGAGAAGAAAGUGCGUGAGAGUAACUGUUCACGUUUCGACGGUAUCUAACCAGAAAGCCACGGCUAACUACGUGCCAGCAGCCGCGGUAAUACGUAGGUGGCAAGCGUUAUCCGGAUUUAUUGGGCGUAAAGGGAACGCAGGCGGUCUUUUAAGUCUGAUGUGAAAGCCUUCGGCUUAACCGGAGUAGUGCAUUGGAAACUGGGAGACUUGAGUGCAGAAGAGGAGAGUGGAACUCCAUGUGUAGCGGUGAAAUGCGUAGAUAUAUGGAAGAACACCAGUGGCGAAAGCGGCUCUCUGGU